AGAAUCAACGCUGGCGGCGUGCCUAACACAUGCAAGUCGAACGAGAAAGUGGAGCAAUCCACGAGUAAAGUGGUGCACGGGUGAGUAACACGUGACUAACCUACCCUUGAGUGGGGGAUAACCUAGGGAAACCUGGGCUAAUACCGCAUAAUACCUACGGGUCAAAGGAGCAAUUCGCUUAAGCGAGGGGGUCGCGGCCGAUUAGUUAGUUGGCGGGGUAAUGGCCCACCAAGACGAUGAUCGGUAU
RNAcentral lists this ribosomal RNA (247 nucleotides) under uncultured bacterium. RNAcentral's name for it is "partial small subunit ribosomal RNA". It matches the Rfam family "Bacterial small subunit ribosomal RNA", at positions 26 to 286 of the family's 1533-position model. The record is from RNAcentral.